UUAAGCGACUAAGCGUACACGGUGGAUGCCCUGGCAGUCAGAGGCGAUGAAGGACGUGCUAAUCUGCGAAAAGCGUCGGUAAGGUGAUAUGAACCGUUACAGCCGGCGAUGUCCGAAUGGGGAAACCCAGUGCAAUUCGUUGCACUAUCGUUAACUGAAUACAUAGGUUAACGAGGCGAACCGGGGGAACUGAAACAUCUAAGUACCCCGAGGAAAAGAAAUCAACCGAGAUUCCCCCAGUAGCGGCGAGCGAACGGGGAGCAGCCCAGAGUCUGAAUCAGCUUGUGUGUUAGUGGAACGGUCUGGAAAGUCCGACGGUACAGGGUGAUAGUCCCGUACACCAAAAUGCACAGGCUGUGAACUCGAAGAGUAGGGCGGGACACGUGGUAUCCUGUCUGAAUAUGGGGGGACCAUCCUCCAAGGCUAAAUACUCCUGACUGACCGAUAGUGAACCAGUACCGUGAGGGAAAGGCGAAAAGAACCCCGGCGAGGGGAGUGAAAAAGAACCUGAAACCGUGUACGUACAAGCAGUGGGAGCACCUUCGGGUGUGACUGCGUACCUUUUGUAUAAUGGGUCAGCGACUUAUAUUCUGUAGCAAGGUUAACCGUAUAGGGGAGCCGCAGGGAAACCGAGUCUUAACUGGGCGUUAAGUUGCAGGGUAUAGACCCGAAACCCGGUGAUCUAGCCAUGGGCAGGUUGAAGGUUGGGUAACACUAACUGGAGGACCGAACCGACUAAUGUUGAAAAAUUAGCGGAUGACUUGUGGCUGGGGGUGAAAGGCCAAUCAAACCGGGAGAUAGCUGGUUCUCCCCGAAAGCUAUUUAGGUAGCGCCUCGUGAACUCAUCUUCGGGGGUAGAGCACUGUUUCGGCUAGGGGGUCAUCCCGACUUACCAACCCGAUGCAAACUACGAAUACCGAAGAAUGUUAUCACGGGAGACACACGGCGGGUGCUAACGUCCGUCGUGAAGAGGGAAACAACCCAGACCGCCAGCUAAGGUCCCAAAGUCAUGGUUAAGUGGGAAACGAUGUGGGAAGGCACAGACAGCCAGGAUGUUGGCUUAGAAGCAGCCAUCAUUUAAAGAAAGCGUAAUAGCUCACUGGUCGAGUCGGCCUGCGCGGAAGAUGUAACGGGGCUAAACCAUGCACCGAAGCUGCGGCAGCGACACUAUGUGUUGUUGGGUAGGGGAGCGUUCUGUAAGCCUGCGAAGGUGACCUGUGAGGGUUGCUGGAGGUAUCAGAAGUGCGAAUGCUGACAUAAGUAACGAUAAAGCGGGUGAAAAGCCCGCUCGCCGGAAGACCAAGGGUUCCUGUCCAACGUUAAUCGGGGCAGGGUGAGUCGACCCCUAAGGCGAGGCCGAAAGGCGUAGUCGAUGGGAAACAGGUUAAUAUUCCUGUACUUGGUGUUACUGCGAAGGGGGGACGGAGAAGGCUAUGUUAGCCGGGCGACGGUUGUCCCGGUUUAAGCAUGUAGGCUGAUUGUCCAGGCAAAUCCGGAUAAUCAAGGCUGAGGUGUGAUGACGAGGCACUACGGUGCUGAAGUAACAAAUGCCCUGCUUCCAGGAAAAGCCUCUAAGCAUCAGGUAACAUCAAAUCGUACCCCAAACCGACACAGGUGGUCAGGUAGAGAAUACCAAGGCGCUUGAGAGAACUCGGGUGAAGGAACUAGGCAAAAUGGUGCCGUAACUUCGGGAGAAGGCACGCUGGUGUGUAGGUGAAGUCCCUGCGGAUGGAGCUGAGACCAGUCGAAGAUACCAGCUGGCUGCAACUGUUUAUUAAAAACACAGCACUGUGCAAACACGAAAGUGGACGUAUACGGUGUGACGCCUGCCCGGUGCCGGAAGGUUAAUUGAUGGGGUUAUCCGUAAGGAGAAGCUCUUGAUCGAAGCCCCGGUAAACGGCGGCCGUAACUAUAACGGUCCUAAGGUAGCGAAAUUCCUUGUCGGGUAAGUUCCGACCUGCACGAAUGGCGUAAUGAUGGCCAGGCUGUCUCCACCCGAGACUCAGUGAAAUUGAACUCGCUGUGAAGAUGCAGUGUACCCGCGGCAAGACGGAAAGACCCCGUGAACCUUUACUAUAGCUUGACACUGAACAUUGAGCCUUGAUGUGUAGGAUAGGUGGGAGGCUUUGAAGCGUGGACGCCAGUCUGCGUGGAGCCAACCUUGAAAUACCACCCUUUAAUGUUUGAUGUUCUAACGUUGGCCCCUGACCGGGGUUGCGGACAGUGUCUGGUGGGUAGUUUGACUGGGGCGGUCUCCUCCCAAAGCGUAACGGAGGAGCACGAAGGUUAGCUAAUCCUGGUCGGACAUCAGGAGGUUAGUGCAAUGGCAUAAGCUAGCUUGACUGCGAGCGUGACGGCGCGAGCAGGUGCGAAAGCAGGUCAUAGUGAUCCGGUGGUUCUGAAUGGAAGGGCCAUCGCUCAACGGAUAAAAGGUACUCCGGGGAUAACAGGCUGAUACCGCCCAAGAGUUCAUAUCGACGGCGGUGUUUGGCACCUCGAUGUCGGCUCAUCACAUCCUGGGGCUGAAGUAGGUCCCAAGGGUAUGGCUGUUCGCCAUUUAAAGUGGUACGCGAGCUGGGUUUAGAACGUCGUGAGACAGUUCGGUCCCUAUCUGCCGUGGGCGCUGGAGAAUUGAGGGGGGGCUGCUCCUAGUACGAGAGGACCGGAGUGGACGCAUCACUGGUGUUCGGGUUGUCAUGCCAAUGGCACUGCCCGGUAGCUAAAUGCGGAAGAGAUAAGUGCUGAAAGCAUCUAAGCACGAAACUUGCCCCGAGAUGAGUUCUCCCUGAGACUUUAAGUCUCCUGAAGGAACGUUGAAGACGACGACGUUGAUAGGCCGGGUGUGUAAGCGCAGCGAUGCGUUGAGCUAACCGGUACUAAUGAACCGUGAGGCUUAACCUU
This 2901-nucleotide ribosomal RNA is filed under the name Klebsiella pneumoniae. Its description in RNAcentral is "bacterial LSU rRNA". It matches the Rfam family "Bacterial large subunit ribosomal RNA". The record is from RNAcentral. Lineage: Bacteria; Pseudomonadati; Pseudomonadota; Gammaproteobacteria; Enterobacterales; Enterobacteriaceae.